GAUUUCUGGCUUGAAACAUUUUGCCGGCCACGGUUUCGUGUGUUAGUGCUUGAUGUUCUGGCCAUCCUUCCAAUCGCCCAGGCCCGCUCUUCAUUGAGUGGGCCGAGGUAUUGGAUCUUUUACUUUGAAAAAAUUAGAGUGUUUCAAGCAGGCUUUAUGCUAUGAAUACAUUAGCAUGGAAUAAUAAUUUAGGACUUCGGUUCUAUUUUGUUGGUUUCUAGGACUGAAGUAAUGAUUGAUAGGGACAGUUGGGGGUGCUAGUAUUCAGCGGCCAGAGGUGAAAUUCUUGGAUUCGCUGAAGACUAACUUAUGCGAAAGCAUU
Molecule: ribosomal RNA, 322 nt
Filed under: uncultured Cercozoa
Lineage: Eukaryota; Cercozoa
Description: bacterial SSU rRNA
Rfam family: Eukaryotic small subunit ribosomal RNA (bases 103-322)
Source: RNAcentral